This 437-nucleotide small RNA is filed under the name Pongo abelii (Sumatran orangutan). Its description in RNAcentral is "retained intron". The record is from RNAcentral. Lineage: Eukaryota; Metazoa; Chordata; Mammalia; Primates; Hominidae.
AAUGACUGGGCAACAAUAGGGGCGGCGCUAGGAAGAAGUGCAUCUUCUGUCAAAGAUCGGUGCCGACUGAUGAAGGAUACUUGCAACACAGGAUAGCAGAACUUGAUGUAGCUGAUGAAAAUGACAUUAACUGGGAUCUGUUAGCUGAGGGAUGGAGUAGUGUCCGUUCACCACAAUGGCUACGAAGUAAAUGGUGGACCAUCAAAAGGCAAAUUGCAAACCAUAAGGAUGUUUCCUUCCCUGGUAAUGUAUUAACUUUUUAAGCUCCUCCCCUUCUCUUACCGUAUUUACUCCUUAGGAGUGAGAGGUUAGAAGUUCUUUGCCCCAGCUAAAGAGAUAUCAUAGCAGAUUUCUACUUAGACUUCUUCCCUGUUUCUCUCAGUAAUUGUUUUCUUCCCCAGAGAAGAGUUAAUACUGUUUGUAAUUUCUAAAGCCCC